This 121-nucleotide non-coding RNA is filed under the name pig gut metagenome. RNAcentral describes it as "FMN riboswitch (RFN element)". It matches the Rfam family "FMN riboswitch aptamer (RFN element)". Rfam says of the family: The RFN element is a highly conserved domain that is found frequently in the 5'-untranslated regions of prokaryotic mRNAs that encode for flavin mononucleotide (FMN) biosynthesis and transport proteins. This element is a metabolite-dependent riboswitch that directly binds FMN in the absence of proteins. The record is from RNAcentral.
UUCUUCAGGGGUGGGUGCAAUUCCCUACUGGCGGUGAUCAUAAGUCCGCGACCUGUAUCGCAAGAUACGGCUGAACCGGUGAAAAUCCGGUACCAACAGUAAAGUCUGGAUGGAAGAAGAG